Molecule: ribosomal RNA, 555 nt
Filed under: Limnonectes doriae (Doria's frog)
Lineage: Eukaryota; Metazoa; Chordata; Amphibia; Anura; Dicroglossidae
Description: partial large subunit ribosomal RNA
Rfam family: Bacterial large subunit ribosomal RNA
Source: RNAcentral
AACAUCGCCUCUUGAAUUUCAUAAGAGGUCCAGCCUGGCCAGUGACACAAUUAAACGGCCGCGGUACCCUGACCGUGCGAAGGUAGCAUAAUCACUUGUUCUCUAAAUAAGGACUUGUAUCAACGGCAUCACGAGGGUUAUACUGUCUCCUCUUUUUAAUCAGUGAAACUGACUUUCCCGUGAAGAGGCGGGAAUGAAGAUACAAGACGAGAAGACCCCAUGGAGCUUUAAACCCAAUAGUAACCUCUAUUUACUACUACUACUUAAUCAAGAAGGUCUAUCUACUGGUUUUAGGUUGGGGUGACCCUGGAGUAAAACUUAGCCUCCAUGAUGAAUAGAAUUUAUUCUAAUCCCAGAGCCACUGCUCUACGAAUCAAAAUUUUGACAUAAACUGAUCCGCCUAGCGAUCAACGAACCAAGUUACCCUGGGGAUAACAGCGCAAUCCAUUUCAAGAGCCCCUAUCGACAAAUGGGUUUACGACCUCGAUGUUGGAUCAGGGUAUCCCAGUGGUGCAGCCGCUACUAAAGGUUUGUUUGUUCAACAAUUAAAACCCU